AUUGAACGCUGGCGGCAGGCUUAACACAUGCAAGUCGAGCGGUAACAGAGAGAAGCUUGCUUCUCUGCUGACGAGCGGCGGACGGGUGAGUAAUGCCUAGGAAUCUGCCUAGUAGUGGGGGAUAACUUGCCGAAGGUAAGCUAAUACCGCAUACGUCCUACGGGAGAAAGGAGGGGACCUUCGGGCCUUUCGCUAUUAGAUGAGCCUAGGUCGGCUUAGUUAGUUGGUGAGGUAAUGGCUCACCAAGACCGCGAUCCGUAACUGGUCUGAGAGGAUGAGCAGUCACACUGGAACUGAGACACGGUCCAGAAUCCUACGGGAGGAAGCAGUGGGGAAUUGUGGACAAUGGGGGGAACCCUGAUCCAGCCAUGCCGCGUGUGUGAAGAAGGUCUUAGGAUUGUAAAGCACUUUAAGUUGGGAGGAAGAGCAGUUAACUAAUAUUUGACUGUUUUGACGUUACCGACAGAAUAAGCACCGGCUAACUUCGUGCCAGCCGCCGCAGUAA
This 505-nucleotide ribosomal RNA is filed under the name uncultured bacterium. RNAcentral describes it as "partial 16S ribosomal RNA". It matches the Rfam family "Bacterial small subunit ribosomal RNA", at positions 30 to 523 of the family's 1533-position model. The record is from RNAcentral.